RNAcentral lists this transfer RNA (75 nucleotides) under Fusarium pseudograminearum CS3427. Its description in RNAcentral is "tRNA-Met". RNAcentral also lists the same sequence under 1 other name. Lineage: Eukaryota; Fungi; Ascomycota; Sordariomycetes; Hypocreales; Nectriaceae. The record is from RNAcentral.
UUAGGGCUAAAGUGACUUGAACACUUAUAAUUACUGUUAUGAGCAGUACACUUUACCUAUUAAGUUAUAGCCCUA